UAGUGAGUUUGAUCCUGGCUCAGGAUGAACGCUAGCGGCAGGCCUAAUACAUGCAAGUCGAACGGGGUCCUUCGGGGCCCAGUGGCGCACGGGUGCGUAACGCGUAUGCAACCUACCUUCAACUGGGGGAUAGCCCGGAGAAAUCCGGAUUAAUACCGCAUAACACCAUAUGACGGCAUCCGAGUAUGGUUAAAGAUUCAUCGGUUGGAGAUGGGCAUGCGUGCCAUUAGCUAGUUGGUGGUGUAACGGACCACCAAGGCUACGAUGGCUAGGGGGUCUGAGAGGAUGGUCCCCCACACUGGCACUGAGAUACGGGGCCAGACUCCUACGGGAGCAGCAGUUAGGAAUCUUCGACAAUGGGGCGAAGC
RNAcentral lists this ribosomal RNA (368 nucleotides) under uncultured Bacteroidota bacterium. RNAcentral's name for it is "bacterial SSU rRNA". It matches the Rfam family "Bacterial small subunit ribosomal RNA", at positions 1 to 382 of the family's 1533-position model. The record is from RNAcentral. Lineage: Bacteria; Pseudomonadati; Bacteroidota.